GCACUAAUGGGGUAGUGGUAACCUCGAAGUUUCCCAUCUAGGAUUCUACUUUGGCCCCGUGUUCGAUUCACGGUUAGUGCA
Jackrogersella minutella is the source of this 81-nucleotide non-coding RNA. The record is from the annotation of a GenBank genome assembly. Lineage: Eukaryota; Fungi; Ascomycota; Sordariomycetes; Xylariales; Hypoxylaceae.